Long non-coding RNA from Vicia villosa (hairy vetch), 826 nucleotides. RefSeq lists it as uncharacterized. Lineage: Eukaryota; Viridiplantae; Streptophyta; Magnoliopsida; Fabales; Fabaceae. The transcript is spliced from 3 exons. The record is from RefSeq and is a predicted model, not a curated record.
CUCUGAUCGACCUCGUGUGCAUCUCUGAUCGACCUCGUGUGCAUCUCCGAUCGAUGUCUCCGUCUGCGAUCGAUUUCGUCUCAUUCUCAAUUCGAUCUUGUCCUAGUCAUAUUGAUCUAUUAUCCUCUCUCCAUUUCCAAUCGAUCUUCACAUUCUCUCAUCCUUGCUCCUAUUUUCAUAUGAAACCCUAAUCUAGCUGUUUAACAUCUAUAAUUCAUAUUUUGUCAAUUUCAGGUUCUUUCAGUUUUGAUUUUUUGUAUCCAGUUGAAGAAAAGUAAUUGAAGCUUCAAGAGUCACGAAAUGCUCUAAGAGAAGUUGUGAAGCUGCUUGAACAAAUCGUUAACAAGUUCCAAACUCAGAGUGCGAGCUUCAAAAAAGGUUAUUACAGUUGCAGAUCAAGAGGUGGAAGAGAUAAUCAGAGAAUCAUGAGUCUGUGGAACUAGAAGCAAGUUCGGUUCAGAUAGGUGACAAUGUGGUUCUAUAAAAGUUGCUUGUAAGUUGAUAUAUUUGAUCUGAAAUGUGAUUGAUUUUAAAAAUACUAUAAGUUGAGGAAUGCUUAGUUAGGUAUAUCACUCUGUUUAUUUUCUACCAGUGGGGUCCGAGAUAUUUUGACCCUCAAGAUAGUAGUUGGGGUGCAUGCUAUAAUUGCUGUGAGGAAGGUCACGCUGUUGUAAACUGUCCAGCAGCGAAGCAGAUGAAACAGUGCUAUGUGUGUGCUGGUUUAUGACACACUUCAAGAGAGAUGAUGUAUGUGUUUGUGGAGGAACAUGUACAUUAUACAUGUUGGGGCUUUUACAACAAUGUGUUCAUCAUUGCUUGGUGGAAC